AAAAUAAUCCUACCCUUUGUGAAUUUUGUUUGUUUGAAUAAUUUUUUUUUUUAAAGAAUUAUUGGAGUCUUUCCCUUUAGAGUUUGCUUUUGAGUUUGUAAAAGAAUUCGAAAACAUCUAAAGGGGACGGUCAACAAUUUUUUUUGAAAAAAGACAUUUUUUAAAAUUAAACUUUUUGUAUUCAUUUGUCUAAAAAUUAUUUUUAUAAUAUAAAAACAACUUUUGACAAUGGAUCUCUUGGUUCUCGCAACGAUGAAGAACGCAGCAAAAUGCGAUAAGUAGUGUGAAUUGCAGAAUACGUGAAUCAUCGAAUCUUUGAACGCAUAUUGCACUUUUUUAGUUUACUAAAAAAGUAUGUCUGUUUGAGUAUCAGUAAAAUAUUCUCAUAAAAAUCAUUGUGUAUUUUUAUGGUUAUGAGUGUUUUACAACGAUACAAGUUGUUUCACUUUAAAUUUUUUUUUAAUAUUGAAAUUUUUCUAAUUUUAAUAAUUAAAAUUGGAUAAAAUUUUCCCGUCAAAAGGAAUAACCUAAACAAUUUUAAAUGAUUAAUUUUAGCAAAAUUUUCGAAAAAAAGGAAAAUUUUUAUUAAAAUAACUUGAUCUCAAAUCAGAUAAGAGUACCCGCUGAACUUAAGCAUAUCAAUAAGCGGAGGAAAAGAAACUAACGAGGAUUCCCUUAGUAACGGCGAGUGAAGCGGGAAGAGCUCAAAUUUGAAAUCUUCAAGGUUUUACCUUGACGAAUUGUAGUUUAAAGAAGUGUUUUCUGCUGAAGUUUUGGUAAAAGUUCUUUGGAAUAGGACAUCAUAGAGGGUGAGAAUCCCGUAUUUGACCAUUAUUUUCAGCUUUGUGAUACACUUUCAAAGAGUCGGAUUGUUUGGGAAUGCAGUCCAAAAUGGGUGGUAAAUUUCAUCUAAAGCUAAAUAUUGGCGAGAGACCGAUAGCGAACAAGUACCGUGAGGGAAAGAUGAAAAGAACUUUGAAAAGAGAGUUAAACAGUACGUGAAGUUGUCAAAAGGGAAGCGUUUGACACCAGUGUUGUUUUCUCGAAAAUCAAUUAAAAAUGGCUCGAUUUUGUAUUGCUUGAGACCUUAAAAGCUCACUGUACAUUUUUCGUGUCUUUUUUAAUGCACUUUUCGUUUAACAAGUCAACAUCAAUUUCUUUUGUUGUAAAAGGGUCAUUGGAAGGUGGCUUUCUUUUCGGAGAAAGUGUUUAUAGCCUUUGGCCUCUGCAAUCGGAGAGACUGAGGUCUGCAGCGUAGACUCUUCGGGGUUAGAUACAUUUGUGCUAAGUUAUAGCUUUUUAUAGACAACUUGUUGACUAUAAUUAGUCUUGUGGCUUACUCGCUUAUGCUAUUUUACCUACGCUUAGGAUG
This 1372-nucleotide unclassified non-coding RNA is filed under the name uncultured Neocallimastigales. RNAcentral's name for it is "partial contains internal transcribed spacer 1, 5.8S ribosomal RNA, internal transcribed spacer 2, and large subunit ribosomal RNA". The stretch from base 597 to 1372 matches the Rfam family "Eukaryotic large subunit ribosomal RNA", at positions 1 to 634 of the family's 3401-position model. Lineage: Eukaryota; Fungi; Neocallimastigomycota; Neocallimastigomycetes; Neocallimastigales. The record is from RNAcentral.